CCAAUAGCGUAUAUUAAAGUUGUUGCGGUUAAAAAGCUCGUAGUUGAAUUUCAGGCCUGGCUGGACGGUCCGCCCUUCGGGUGAGUACUGUCUGUGGUCGGGUCCUACCUUCUGGCGAAGCGUCAUGGCCUUAACCGGCCGUGGCGGGGAACCAGGACUUUUACUGUGAAAAAAUUAGAGUGUUCAAAGCAGGCAAUCGCUUGGAUACAUUAGCAUGGAAUAAUGGAAUAGGACAAUGGUUCUAUUUGUUGGUUUCUAGGACCGUUGUAAUGAUUAAUAGGGAUAGUUGGGGGCAUUAGUAUUCAAUUGUCAGAGGUGAAAUUCUUGGAUUUAUUGAAGACUAACUACUGCGAAAGCAUUUGCCAAGGAUGUUUUCAUUAAUCAAGAACGAAAGUUAGGGGAUCGAAGACGAUCAGAUACCGUCGUAGUCUUAACCAUAAACUAUGCCGACUAGGAAUCGGGCGAUGUUGACAAAAUGACGCGCUCGGCACCUCAUG
This 497-nucleotide ribosomal RNA is filed under the name uncultured Glomeromycotina. RNAcentral's name for it is "partial small subunit ribosomal RNA". It matches the Rfam family "Eukaryotic small subunit ribosomal RNA", at positions 591 to 1092 of the family's 1831-position model. The record is from RNAcentral. Lineage: Eukaryota; Fungi; Glomeromycota.